This 238-nucleotide ribosomal RNA is filed under the name uncultured bacterium. Its description in RNAcentral is "partial 16S ribosomal RNA". It matches the Rfam family "Bacterial small subunit ribosomal RNA", at positions 100 to 334 of the family's 1533-position model. The record is from RNAcentral.
CGGAACGGGUGAGUAACGCGUGAGGAACCUGCCUCAAAGGGGGGGACAACAGUUGGAAACGACUGCUAAUACCGCAUAAGCCCACGGCUCGGCAUCGAGCAGAGGGAAAAGGAGUGAUCCGCUUUGAGAUGGCCUCGCGUCCGAUUAGCUGGUUGGUGAGGUAACGGCCCACCAAGGCGACGAUCGGUAGCCGGACUGAGAGGUUGAACGGCCACAUUGGGACUGAGACACGGCCCAG